Molecule: ribosomal RNA, 496 nt
Filed under: uncultured bacterium
Lineage: Bacteria
Description: partial 16S ribosomal RNA
Rfam family: Bacterial small subunit ribosomal RNA
Source: RNAcentral
GAUGAACGCUGGCGGCGUGCCUAAUACAUGCAAGUCGAGCGAACGGACGAGAAGCUUGCUUCUCUGAUGUUAGCGGCGGACGGGUGAGUAACACGUGGAUAACCUACCUAUAAGACUGGGAUAACUUCGGGAAACCGGAGCUAAUACCGGAUAAUAUUUUGAACCGCAUGGUUCAAAAGUGAAAGACGGUCUUGCUGUCACUUAUAGAUGGAUCCGCGCUGCAUUAGCUAGUUGGUAAGGUAACGGCUUACCAAGGCAACGAUGCAUAGCCGACCUGAGAGGGUGAUCGGCCACACUGGAACUGAGACACGGUCCAGACUCCUACGGGAGGCAGCAGUAGGGAAUCUUCCGCAAUGGGCGAAAGCCUGACGGAGCAACGCCGCGUGAGUGAUGAAGGUCUUGGAUCGUAAAACUCUGUUAUUAGGGAAGAACAUAUGUGUAAGUAACUGUGCACAUCUUGACGGUACCUAAUCAGAAAGCCACGGCUAACUACGUG